GACGAACGCUGGCGGCGUGCUUAACACAUGCAAGUCGAACGGAAAGGCCCUGCUUUUGUGGGGUGCUCGAGUGGCGAACGGGUGAGUAACACGUGAGUAACCUGCCCUUGACUUUGGGAUAACUUCAGGAAACUGGGGCUAAUACCGGAUAGGAUCUCCUGCUGCAUGGUGGGGGUUGGAAAGUUUCGGCGGUUGGGGAUGGACUCGCGGCUUAUCAGCUUGUUGGUGGGGUAGUGGCUUACCAAGGCUUUGACGGGUAGCCGGCCUGAGAGGGUGACCGGCCACAUUGGGACUGAGAUACGGCCCAGACUCCUACGGGAGGCAGCAGUGGGGAAUAUUGCACAAUGGGCGGAAGCCUGAUGCAGCAACGCCGCGUGCGGGAUGACGGCCUUCGGGUUGUAAACCGCUUUCGCCUGUGACGAAGCGUGAGUGACGGUAAUGGGUAAAGAAGCACCGGCUAAAUACGUG
Molecule: ribosomal RNA, 468 nt
Filed under: uncultured bacterium
Lineage: Bacteria
Description: partial 16S ribosomal RNA
Rfam family: Bacterial small subunit ribosomal RNA
Source: RNAcentral